RNAcentral lists this unclassified non-coding RNA (498 nucleotides) under Candida tropicalis. Its description in RNAcentral is "ITS1". The stretch from base 141 to 294 matches the Rfam family "5.8S ribosomal RNA". Lineage: Eukaryota; Fungi; Ascomycota; Pichiomycetes; Serinales; Debaryomycetaceae. The record is from RNAcentral.
AAACGGAUUGCUUAUUGCACCACAUGUGUUUUUUAUUGAACAAAUUUCUUUGGUGGCGGGAGCAAUCCUACCGCCAGAGGUUAUAACUAAACCAAACUUUUUAUUUACAGUCAAACUUGAUUUAUUAUUACAAUAGUCAAAACUUUCAACAACGGAUCUCUUGGUUCUCGCAUCGAUGAAGAACGCAGCGAAAUGCGAUACGUAAUAUGAAUUGCAGAUAUUCGUGAAUCAUCGAAUCUUUGAACGCACAUUGCGCCCUUUGGUAUUCCAAAGGGCAUGCCUGUUUGAGCGUCAUUUCUCCCUCAAACCCCCGGGUUUGGUGUUGAGCAAUACGCUAGGUUUGUUUGAAAGAAUUUACGUGGAAACUUAUUUUAAGCGACUUAGGUUUAUCCAAAACGCUUAUUUUGCUAGUGGCCACCACAAUUUAUUUCAUAACUUUGACCUCAAAUCAGGUAGGACUACCCGCUGAACUUAAGCAUAUCAAUAAGCGGAGGAAAA